RNAcentral lists this ribosomal RNA (444 nucleotides) under Anguilla marmorata (giant mottled eel). RNAcentral's name for it is "partial 16S ribosomal RNA". It matches the Rfam family "Bacterial large subunit ribosomal RNA", at positions 1988 to 2563 of the family's 2925-position model. Lineage: Eukaryota; Metazoa; Chordata; Actinopteri; Anguilliformes; Anguillidae. The record is from RNAcentral.
CUGUAUGAAUGGCAUAACGAGGGUUUAACUGUCUCCCUCCCCCAGUCAAUGAAAUUGAUCUGCCCGUGCAGAAGCGGACAUAAACACAUAAGACGAGAAGACCCUAUGGAGCUUUAGACAAAAGAUCAAACAUGUAAAGAAACCAAACCAACCAAAAGGAACACAAAGGCCACAAAACCCAACGUAAAAUGAUCAAAAUGUCUUCGGUUGGGGCGACCAUGGGGGAAAGAAAAGCCCCCACGAGGAACUAAGGGCAAUCCAUUAAGCCAAGAGAUACACCUCUAAGCAACAGAAAAUCUGACCAAAAAUGACCCAGGACACUAAUCCUGAUCAACGAACCAAGUUACCCUAGGGAUAACAGCGCAAUCCUUUCCCAGAGUCCAUAUCGACGAAAGGGUUUACGACCUCGAUGUUGGAUCAGGACAUCCUAAUGGUGCAGCCGCU